CAGUAGCCGCGGGAAUACGUAGGGUGCGAGCGUUAAUCGGAAUUACUGGGCGUAAAGCGUGCGCAGACGGUUAUAUAAGACAGAUGUGAAAUCCCCGGGCUCCACCUGGGACCUGCAUUUGUGACUGUAUAGCUAGAGUACGGUAGAGGGGGAUGGAAUUCCGCGUGUAGCAGUGAAAUGCGUAGAUAUGCGGAGGGACACCGAUGGCGAAGGCAAUCCCCUGGACCUGUACUGACGCUCAUGCACGAAAGCGUGGGGAGCAAACAGGAUUAGAUACCCGCGUAGUCCCUGUCUCUUAUAA
This 301-nucleotide ribosomal RNA is filed under the name uncultured bacterium. RNAcentral's name for it is "partial 16S ribosomal RNA". It matches the Rfam family "Bacterial small subunit ribosomal RNA", at positions 509 to 809 of the family's 1533-position model. The record is from RNAcentral.